Long non-coding RNA from Spea bombifrons (plains spadefoot toad), 392 nucleotides. RefSeq lists it as uncharacterized. The transcript has 4 exons. Lineage: Eukaryota; Metazoa; Chordata; Amphibia; Anura; Pelobatidae. The record is from RefSeq and is a predicted model, not a curated record.
GCCACUGUUCCAGACUUCCAGCCACAGAACAGAAGCCCUAGCCAGCCAGUGCCACCAGCAUCUAAAGGAAAUGUGUUUUCAUGGAUUGCUGUUUGAUGUUAGAUGAAAUAGCCCUCAAUUGCCUGACCAAGAGACCAACCUGAACAUUCAAGCCACACUGUCCAAUACUUCAUUUGGCUGUCUGCCUGAUCUACUGCAACUCUGCACGAUUGCUGUUGGAUGUUAAAUGAAAUAGCCCUCAAUUGCCUGACCAAGAGACCAACCUGAACAUUCAAGCCACACUGUCCAAUACUUCAUUUGGCUGUCUGCCUGAUCUACUGCAACUCUGCACGAUUGCCGUUUGAUGUUAGAUGAAAUAGCCCUCAAUUGCCUGACCAAGAGACCAACCUGAA